This 497-nucleotide ribosomal RNA is filed under the name uncultured bacterium. Its description in RNAcentral is "partial 16S ribosomal RNA". It matches the Rfam family "Bacterial small subunit ribosomal RNA", at positions 28 to 507 of the family's 1533-position model. The record is from RNAcentral.
GAUGAACGCUGGCGGCGUGCCUAAUACAUGCAAGUCGAGCGAACAGACGAGGAGCUUGCUCCUCUGACGUUAGCGGCGGACGGGUGAGUAACACGUGGAUAACCUACCUAUAAGACUGGGAUAACUUCGGGAAACCGGAGCUAAUACCGGAUAAUAUAUUGAACCGCAUGGUUCAAUAGUGAAAGACGGUUUUGCUGUCACUUAUAGAUGGAUCCGCGCCGCAUUAGCUAGUUGGUAAGGUAACGGCUUACCAAGGCGACGAUGCGUAGCCGACCUGAGAGGGUGAGCGGCCAGACUGGAACUGAGACACGGUCCAGACUCCUACGGGAGGCAGCAGUAGGGAAUCUUCCGCAAUGGGCGAAAGCCUGACGGAGCAACGCCGCGUGAGUGAUGAAGGUCUUCGGAUCGUAAAACUCUGUUAUUAGGGAAGAACAAAUGUGUAAGUACCUAUGCACGUCUUGACGGUACCUAAUCAGAAAGCCACGGCUAACUACGUG